This 87-nucleotide transfer RNA is filed under the name Lactiplantibacillus mudanjiangensis. RNAcentral describes it as "Lactobacillus mudanjiangensis tRNA-Ser(act)". It matches the Rfam family "tRNA". Rfam says of the family: Transfer RNA (tRNA) molecules are approximately 80 nucleotides in length. Their secondary structure includes four short double-helical elements and three loops (D, anti-codon, and T loops). Lineage: Bacteria; Bacillati; Bacillota; Bacilli; Lactobacillales; Lactobacillaceae. The record is from RNAcentral.
UGGAGUGGUAAGCAUAAUGGUACUGCAGCGGUUUACUAAACCGUUACGCCUGACCGGCGUUGCUGGUUCAAGUCCAGCUCACUCCGU